This 461-nucleotide long non-coding RNA is filed under the name Cercocebus atys (sooty mangabey). Its description in RNAcentral is "lncRNA (ENSCATG00000045402.1)". The record is from RNAcentral. Lineage: Eukaryota; Metazoa; Chordata; Mammalia; Primates; Cercopithecidae.
AGAUCUUUUAAAGCCAUCAGAACUAUUGCUGCCUAAGACAUGCAUGGCAAAUAAAAGUGUCUCACUGGAUUUCAAAUAAGGGGAAUAAUCAAUGUUAAGUGCUGCCUUGUUGGAUUUCUUCCUGAUUUUUUUGAAGCUCCGCUUCUUCUGUUUCAGAGCUAUGUUUCCCCAGUGGGCUACCACAUCUCUGGGUUUCCAGUACUUGGAAUUUUGCUUCCCAGUUGCAGAGCUAAGAAGCCAAUUCACAUUCCAUCGUUGUCCUAAAGUCUUUUUCCUAUUUUGAAUACCCCAUCUUGUCUGGAUCUAUCAAGGGGCUUGAAAAAUUUGUGCAGUGUUCCAAAAGCAGAGUAAAGGAGGAAAGGCCAGGAAGUAUGGAAGAGAGCCAGGCAAGUGGUGAGAGCCAAGAGUUCAGGUAAAUGAAAAGGCUUUACAUAAUGGGAGUUGCCCUGACAGAGAAAGUU